AGAGUUUGAUCCUGGCUCAGAACGAACGCUGGCGGCGUGCCUAAUACAUGCAAGUCGCACGAGAAAGUACCUUCGGGUGCGAGUACAGUGGCAGACGGGUGAGUAAUACAUAGGUAACCUACCUCCAAGAUGGGGACAACCUUCCGAAAGGAGGGCUAAUACCGAAUGAGACCACAGUCACAUAGGUGACAGGGGUUAAAGGUGGCCUCUGCUUGCAAGCUAUCACUUGGAGAUGGGCUUAUGCACCAUUAGCUAGUUGGUAGGGUAAUGGCCUACCAAGGCUACGAUGGUUAGCUGAUCUGAGAGGUUGAUCAGCCACACUGGAACUGAGACACGGUCCAGACUCCUACGGGAGGCAGCAGUAGGGAAUAUUGCGCAAUGGGGGCAACCCUGACGCAGCGACGCCGCGUGGGUGACGAAGGCUUUCGGGUCGUAAAGCCCUGUCAGAGGGGAAGAAACACGGUAUGGCUAAUAUCCAUGCCGCUUGACGGUACCCUCAAAGGAAGCACCGGCUAACUACGUGCCAGCAGCCGCGGUAAUACGUAGGGUGCUAGCGUUGUUCGGAAUUAUUGGGCGUAAAGCGCGUGUAGGUGGCUUGUUAAGUCGGGUGUGAAAUCCCUGGGCUCAACCGAGGAAGUGCACUCGAAACUAGCUCGCUAGAGGACGGCAGAGGGAGGUGGAAUUCCUAGUGUAGAGGUGAAAUUCGUAGAUAUUAGGAGGAAUACCGGUGGCGAAGGCGGCCUCCUGGACCGUUCCUGACACUGAGACGCGAAAGCGUGGGUAGCAAACAGGAUUAGAUACCCUGGUAGUCCACGCCGUAAACGAUGGGUACUAGAUGUUGUAGGAAUUGACCCCUACAGUGUCGAAGCUAACGCAUUAAGUACCCCGCCUGGGAAGUACGGCCGCAAGGUUAAAACUCAAAGGAAUUGACGGGGGCCCGCACAAGCGGUGGAGCAUGUGGUUUAAUUCGAUGCAACGCGAGGAACCUUACCUGGGCUUGACAUCCCCGGACCGCCUCAGAGAUGAGGUUUCCCCUUCGGGGGCCGGGAGACAGGUGCUGCAUGGCUGUCGUCAGCUCGUAUCGUGAGAUGUCGGGUUAAGUCCCUUAACGAGCGCAACCCCUAUCCCUAGUUGCCAUCAUUCAGUUGGGCACUCUACGGAGACCGCCGGUGUUAAACCGGAGGAAGGUGGGGAUGACGUCAAGUCCUCAUGGCCUUUAUGUCCAGGGCUACACACGUGCUACAAUGGCCGGUACAAAGGGUUGCCAACCCGCAAGGGGGAGCUAAUCUCAGAAAGCCGGUCUCAGUUCGGAUUGGAGUCUGCAACUCGACUCCAUGAAGCUGGAAUCGCUAGUAAUGGCAGAUCAGAAUGCUGCCGUGAAUACGUUCCCGGGCCUUGUACACACCGCCCGUCACACCACGAAAGUUGACUUCACCAGAAGUCGCUGUCCCAACCGUAAGGAGGGAGGCGCCCAAGGUGAGGUCGAUGAUUGGGGUGAAGUCGUAACAAGGUA
This 1513-nucleotide ribosomal RNA is filed under the name uncultured bacterium. RNAcentral describes it as "16S ribosomal RNA". It matches the Rfam family "Bacterial small subunit ribosomal RNA". The record is from RNAcentral.